UAACAUCUGUUAAAGACAGUUAGCUUUAGAUCAUAAAAAUAAUGACCGAUAAAUGAUUCUGAAUGUUCAGCCUCCUUGUCCUCUGCAACAUGACAUUAGCCCACAGUUGUCAUAUGAGACAUGUGGUUUUCCUGUGAACAAGCUCCACAUCUGCUUUUCUAUUGAAACAUUUAUUCUUUGUCCCAGUCACAGCCACCAUCUUCUGUGAAGUCAGACUAACAGUAUGUAUGUAGCUGUCUAAAUAAUGACCUUGUUCAUCCCUGAUAUGGCUGGUCGUCUGUUUUUGCUCAUCCUCCUUUUCGAUACCUUCCAGUACAUCAAAGCCAAAGAUCUUCCUCAGCCCAGUCUGACAGUGAUUCCUGCAGUCAUCAAAGAGAGAGACUCAGUUCAGCUGAACUGUCAGACUCCUUCAUCUGUCUCUGAGUGUUACUUCAAAAUGGCUGGGCAAGUGGAAUUCACCCUACCAUCACCCUGUCAACAGACACUCACAGGAACACUACUGGUGAGGUGGACAGGUCAGAGUUCACCAGCUGAGGUCAAAAUACAAUGUCAGUACAGUGCUACAGGUUCACAGUUUAGAUCCAUGUUCAGUGAGCCUUCAACAGUCACAAUUCAGGACCUUCCUCAGCUGACAGUGAGUUCUACAGUCAUCAGAGAGACAGAAUCAGUUCAGCUGAGUUGUGAGACUCCUCCAUCUCUCCCUGUGUCUCACUGUUACUUCUACAUAGAGGGGAGGAAGAAUCUUCCAGACUCAUUGUGUACGCAGACAAUAACAGGAACUGAGCUGCUGAAGAGGGCAGGUCCAACAUUUCCAGUUGUGGUCAAAGUGAAAUGUUACUAUGCUGUAGGGAAGUCUCACACAUCUCCGUUUAGUAACUCUGUCUCAGUCACUGUUCAGGACCCACCUCCUCCCAGGCUGACAGUCAGUUCUACAGUCAUCAGUGAGAGAGACUCAGUUCAGCUGAGCUGUGACUCUCCUCCAUCUGUCUCUGUGUCUCAGUGUUACUUCUACACAGAGGGGAGAGAUCCUAAACCCUCACCCUGUACGAAGUCACUCACGGGGACUGAGCUGCUCUCGUCGGCAGGUCAAAGUUCAUCUGCUGAGAUCAAACUGAGAUGUUUUUACACAGUAGAAACUCACUUUCCAUCGAUGCACAGUGGUUCUGUCUCUCUAUCUAUUCUUGAUCCAAAACCAGACAUUACAGUCCAUUUUGAUGGGUACUUCACCAUCAUCUGUUUGAUUCCUGGAUCCGUCAGUCCUGACACCACCUGUAACCUGUAUGUUGGAGAGGAGAGUCAGCCAUCCUUCACAGAAAAGAUCUGGAAAGAAAAAAGCAAAGCUUCCAAACAGUGGUUCUGUAGAUUCACUGUAACUGAGAGGGAUGUUAUCAGAACUCUACAGUAUGUGAGACGUAUGGAGGUGAGCUGUGACUACAGAGUGAGCUCAGGACCAAACUCUCUCUCUCCACGCAGUGAUGGGUACAGCUUUACAGUGGGUAUGACUCCAGGUCCUAGAUCUACUUUGCCUCCCAGCAAGACAGUGAGUCCUACAGAAGUUUCAACUGUUACUUCUACCUUUACCCCAGAAACCACAGUGACACCAACUACCAGGUCGACUGUUUGCUGUACUUUGACCACUGACACCCCAGCGAGUCCAACUGAAAGAGGUCAAAGCUCCACAGACAGUGUUGUGAAUUCAAACAGUCAAAAAAUAGUUUUGGCGGUGCAAUUAUGGCAGACAGCAGUGGGUAUGGCUUCUGGAGUGGGCGUGUUCCUGAUGGGAUUAACAGUGAGUACUUCUGAUUCUGCAUAACAGAUAAUUUGCAAACAUUUUCCUUCUCAUAUUAAUGUAAGUGCCUUUGACAUGGGUUAAUCUUUCAACUCCUUUUGGUGAUAUUGUGUAGUGUAGGCUAUAUUCAACAUCAUUCAUUUAGUCUAAUUUGUUUUUCAGAGGUAAGAAUUCCCUUGUGAAUAUGAUGCAGAUUGUAUCAACCUUUAGUUCUGUAUUGUCCAUGAUGAGAUGUUCUUACCACCACCUUCUUAUACUUUUAUGUUGUACAGACCUACAUCCAGACAGCAUGAUCACAGCCAAUGUAUGUUCCAAAACAAAAUACAUCCAACACUGCACACACUACUAACACAACUAGACACACACGUACAAACACAUAUCUAAUUUAAUUUUAUUUUGUUUCUAUUCUAGGGGUUUUGGUGGUGAGAGUUAUGAGCAGUGCAGGCAUGUUGGAUUCAAGGGAUGCUGGGAUCUGUUCUCUCAUCACUUAUGUACCGUCCACGUUUUUGCCCUCAGGUCCUGUGCAGCAAUAUGCAAAUGAUGCUGAUUCAGAGAAUGCAGGGGUCUACAGCCUGAUCACUUCUGUACCAUUCACAUCUGUACCACCAGUCUGAUACGUACCACGUAUACAGCUCAAUCCCCGACAGACCAGCAACCUCAGCCCAGCCAGAUGGGUUGUACAGUCUUCUGCAGACACACUGAAACUACACCUCUGGCUCUCUGUUUGUCUCACAGAAAUACUGUUUCUUUCUUUUUUUAAAUAAAGGAUGUCCUUCAUUUAUCACACAUUGUGUUACUGUAAAUAAGUAUCUAAUACAUCUACUGCAGUGCCGUUUCUAUCUGUAAGCGACAUCCAGUAAGCAGCCGCUAGAGGCCCCUCCAGAGAAAAACGUAGGAUAGUAGAAUACACAUGUGCAGUUUAGAAAUGUGGUUCUGCAUCAGCAGUUUUCUCUUGUUAUGUCAGUCACUGACAGUCACUCAAUUAUCCCAUGUCAGCUAAGAUUUUAUAGAUUGCUUGGGAAGUAAGUCUCGCCAGCUAUCUAAGCCAUGUAGUAAUGUCCAAAUUACUGCCCAGGGGCCCUGACCUCCAGGGGGCACCCAUUGAUUUUGUUAGUCACUCUCACUCAGAUAUCAAAUGAACAUGGCUUAAGUCAUGGCCAAAUGUGUAGAAUUGCAGGAAAUCAUUUAUAAAAUGUCUCUCAAUCCCUUGGAAAAAUGUGUAGAACUGCAGGAAAUUAGCUUUAAAACUGCAAAGUUCUCUCCGCCCAAUGGCAAAAUGCGUAGAAUUGCAGGACAUUAACUUUAAAGCUCCAAAUGUUUCUCUCCGCCACCAUGAGCGUGGCCACUAAAAUGUUUUGUCUGCGAGGUGGGCAAAUCUCGCUUAGGGCCCCCAAAAUGCUUGGAACUGCCGUAAUUUACUGUUUCACACACGGACACCUGGCUUGUGUUGCAUGCCUAUCCAUAAUAUCUGUUAAUGUGUUGGUAUUUUAAUUUGGGGAUUUUGGAGUGGUCCGGGGCAUACUCCCCUUAACAUUCUUAAGUGUAUAUAUUCUGUAUUUAUAUCUAUUCUGUCAUCUGUGUGAUAAUUCCUUCCAUUAUGGUUUGAUACAAUUUACUAAAUAAAAUAUAUUUGAUCAAAAUCGAUAGAUUCAGACAAUUUUAAAUCAAUAAAUAGAUAACAUAUUCACACAUAAUGCAAAAAACAGGUAAAUAGGAAAUAAAGUUAAAUUAUUGAAAUUAAGUCAUUAAGAUCCAGAGUGGAAUGUCAUUUUUCUGGGUGAAAUUCAUCUUGCGUUGAAAAUGCUUAUAAUCUAAGCCAGAUGCACCACAAAGAAAUGGGGGAAAAGACUAAUGUUAAUUUAACAAUUUUUGUGGCAAAAGUUGGCAAACCCCAAAAGCCCGAUCUUAUAACAAAAGUAUUGAUAUUGAUAUUGCCCACACACUUUGCUACAAGCUACAAAAUAUAACAUUUCGGUUUUAAAAAUGUUUACAUUGUUGGCAACAUCAGAUCAUCAAAACUGAAAAAUAUAGAUUUCCUAAAUACAAUUCAAAUCUCCCAAUUUCUCCAUGUUUACUUGUUAUUUUCCAAGUUCCCAGUUUAAUUUCAACUUACUCAGCACCUCAGUCGCUCCUUCAAUGUGCAGUGUUGUAGACACAUUCUAGCCUUUUAGUCCAGUGACUGCGGAGUGGUUAAGAUGUAAAUGGUGUGAGAACACAACUUCAUUACAUUUUUUUCCAGUUAACAUGAGCUUACAUUCUGUUUCGAUGCACACUUGAGUGGUCAGGAUGGUCGAUUAUUCUAUGGGGGAUGGCUUUGUUUGUUGAAAAAGGGGUGGCUCCCCCUCACCUUCCAUAUACACUGUAAACACUGUACAUAGAUCUUUCUAUUGUGUUUUCUGACUGUACGUUUGUUCAUGUGUAACUCUGUGUUGUUGUUUUGUCGCACUGCUUAUCUUUAUCUUGGCCAGGUCGUUGUUGUAAAUGAGAACUUAUUCUCAACUGGCCUAACUGGUUAAAUAAAGGUGAAAUAAAAUAAAAUAAUGUAUCCCUCUUGUAUAAGACCGUUAAGGUACAGUAAAUACAAAUCCAAUGUUUUGCUCCA
Molecule: non-coding RNA, 4391 nt
Organism: Salmo salar (Atlantic salmon)
Lineage: Eukaryota; Metazoa; Chordata; Actinopteri; Salmoniformes; Salmonidae
Source: RefSeq, a predicted model, not a curated record